RNAcentral lists this ribosomal RNA (253 nucleotides) under uncultured bacterium. Its description in RNAcentral is "partial 16S ribosomal RNA". It matches the Rfam family "Bacterial small subunit ribosomal RNA", at positions 524 to 776 of the family's 1533-position model. The record is from RNAcentral.
UACGGGGGGGGUAAGCGUUGUUCGGAAUUACUGGGCGUAAAGGGCUCGUAGGCGGCCAACUAAGUCAGACGUGAAAUCCCUCAGCUUAACUGGGGAACUGCGUCCGAUACUGGAAGGCUUGAAUCCGGGAGAGGGAUGCGGAAUUCCAGGUGUAGCGGUGAAAUGCGUAGAUAUCUGGAGGAACACCGGUGGCGAAGGCGGCAUCCUGGACCGGUAUUGACGCUGAGGCGCGAAAGCCAGGGGAGCAAACAGG